GGAGAGCCGGGACAGGGAAGAGAUCCCAGGGGAGGGACAGACCCCUCAGGAGAGCCCGGGAAAGGGAGGAGAUGCCAGUCUAGGGGUGUCUCCCAUGGGAAUAUCCCAGUCCAGGGGUCCUCUCCCAUGGGAAUAUCAUGGGCUAGGGGUGUCUCCCAUGGGAAUUUCCCAGUGCAGGGUCCUCUCCCAUGGGAAUAUCAUGGGCUAGGGGUGUCUCCCAUGGGAAUUUCCCAGUGCAGGGGUGUCUCCCAUGGGAAUAUCAUGGGCUAGGGGCCUCUCCCAUGGGAAUAUCAUGGGCUAGGGGUGUCUCCCAUGGGAAUAUCAUGGGCUGGGGGUGUCUCCCAUUGGAAUAUCAUGGGCUAGGGGUGUCUCCCAUGGGAAUAUCAUGGGCUAGGGGUGUUUCCCAUGGGAAUAUCAUGGGCUAGGGGCCUCUCCCAUGGGGGUAUCCCAGGCUAGCGGUUGCUCCCAUGGAAUGCUCAUUGGAAUAUCCCAGUCCAGGAGCCUUUCCCGUGGGAAUAUCCUGGUCUAGGGGUGGCUCCCAGAGGGGAUGUCCCAGGGUAGGGGUGGCUUCUGUGGGGGUAUCCUGGGAUAGGGGUGUCUCCCAUGGGAAUAUCCCAGCCCAGGGGCCUCUCCCUUGGGAAUAUCCCAGUCCUGGGGUCUCUCCUGUGGGAAUAUCCCAGCCCAGGGACCUCUCCCUUGGGAAUAUCCCAGUCCAGGGACCUCUCCCUUGGGAAUAUCCCAGUCCUGGGGUCUCUCCCUUGGGAAUAUCCCAGUCCUGGGGUCUCUCCCAUGGGAAUAUCCCAGUCCAGGGACCUCUCCUUUGGGAAUAUCCCAGUCCAGGGGCCUUUCCCAUGGGAAUAUCCCAGUCCAGGGAUCUCUCCCAUUGGAAUAUCCCAGCCCAGAGAUCUUUCCCAUGGGACUAUCCCAGUCCAGCAGCCUCUCCAUGGGAAUAUCCCAAUCCAUAGGCCUUUCCCAUGGGACUAUCCCAGCCCAGGGGUCUCUCCCAUCGGAAUAACCCAAUCCAGGGGUCUCUCCCAUGGGAAUAUCCCAGUCCAGGGGCCUUUCCCAUGGGAAUAUCCCAGUCCAGGGGCCUUUCCCAUUGGAAUAUCCCAGUCCAGAGGUCUUUCCCAUGGGACUAUCCCAGCCCAGGGGUCUCUCCCUUGGGAAUAUCCCAAUCCAAGUGCCUUUCCCAUUGGAAUAUCCCAAUCCAGGGGCCUUUCCCAUGAGAAUAUCCCAGCCCAGAGGUCUUUCCCGUGGGAAUAUCCCAGUCCAGGGGUCUCUUCUGUGGGAAUAUCCCAGUCCUGGGGUCUCUCCUGUGGGAAUAUCCCAAUCCAUAGGCCUUUCCCAUUGGAAUAUCCCAGUCCUGGGGCCUUGCCCAUUGGAAUAUCCCAGUCCAGCGGCCUCUCCUGUGGGAACAUCCCAGUCCUGGGGCCUUUCCCAUUGGAAUAUCCCAAUCCAUAGGCCUUUCCCAUUGGAAUAUCCCAGUCCUGGGGCCUUUCCCAUUGGAAUAUCCCAGCCCAGGGGUCUCUCCCAUGGGAAUAUCCCAGUCCAGGGGUCUCUCCCAUGGGAAUAUCCCAGUCCUGGGGCCUCUCCAAUGGGAAUAUCCCAAUCCAAGGGCCUUUCCUGUGGGAAUAUCCCAGUCCAGUGGCCUCUCCUGUGGGAAUAUCCCAAUCCAUAGACCUUUCCCAUUGGAAUAUCCCAAUCCAUAGUCCUUUCCCAUUGGAAUAUCCCAAUCCAAGGGCCUUUCCCAUGGGAAUAUCCCAAUCCAUAGUCCUUUCCCAUUGGAAUAUCCCAGUCCAGGGGCCUUUCCAUGGGAAUAUCCCAGUCCUGGGGCCUCUCCUGUGGUAAUAUCCCAAUCCAAGGGCCUUUCCCUUUGGAAUAUCCCAAUCCAAGUGCCUCUCCCAUUGGAAUAUCCCAAUCCAAGUGCCUUUCCCAUGGGAAUAUCUCAGUCCAGGUGCCUUUCCCAUUGGAAUAUCCCAGUCCAGGAGUCUCUCCAAUGGGAAUAUCCCAAUCCCGAGGUCUCUCCCAUGGGAAUAUCCCAGUCCUGGGGUCUCUCCAUGGGAAUAUUCAGGACUAGGAGUCUCUCCAUGGGAAUAUCCCAGUCCAGGUGCCUUUCCCAUGGGAAUAUCCCAACCCAGGGGUCACUCCAAUGGGAAUAUCCCAAUCCAGGGGCCUUUCCCUUUGGAAUAUCCCAGUCCAGCGGCCUCUCCUGUGGGAAUAUCCCAGUCAUGAGCUCACUCCCAUGGGAAUAUCCCAGUCCAGGAGUCUCUCCCUUGGGAAUAUCCCAAUCCAUAGGCCUUCCCCAUUGGAAUAUCCCAGUCGGGAGUCUCUCCCUUGGGAAUAUCCCAGUCCAGGGGCCUUUCCCAUUGGAAUAUCCCAAUCCAUAGGCCUUUCCCAUGGGAAUAUCCCAGUCCAGGGGUCUCUCCCCCCUCCUGCCAGCCCAGCUGGGCUCCUCCAGGUGCUUUCCAGCUUUUCCUCCGAGAGCUGAAGCCAAAAAAAAAAAAAAGAGGAAUCUUUGUGUUCUUUGUGCCUCAAUUUUUUUAAUAUAAUUGUUAAUAAACAUUUAAUAAACUGAUUCCCAAA
Molecule: long non-coding RNA, 2583 nt
Organism: Myiozetetes cayanensis
Lineage: Eukaryota; Metazoa; Chordata; Aves; Passeriformes; Tyrannidae
Exons: 2
Source: RefSeq, a predicted model, not a curated record